UUCUCUCCUCCAUCAAGCUUUUCUCCUCUUGCUUUAACCAACCGCCAUGCUCUUUCAUUUUUGCAGUCAUCCAUUUCAUAUCCGGUGAAGAUUUGGCCAUCCAGGCAUUCUUCUUUUUGGAAUCUUGAAUUCACACUUCAUGAGCUUUCUCUAGGUUCCAUGAUCAAGCUUUUCUCCUACUUUAAGCAAUCAUUGUGCUCAUUUGAUUUUUCACUUCAUCCAUUUCAUCUCAAGAUAUGGAAAGUCAAUCAAGUACACCAAUUAAUCUUGGUGAUGAAAAUGUUGAGCCUGAAUCAAAGCGUGGUAGAUCGGAUGUGUGGGAGCAUUUUGACAAAUUACCACCAAUUGAUGCAAAUUCACAAAGAGCUCAAUGCAAAUAUUGUAAGAAGGCAUAUUCUUGCAAAAGCACAGGAGGAACAUCGCAUUUGAGGAGGCACUUGACUAAAUGUCCGAAACGUGUUUGUCGUGACAUUAGACAAUACACAAUUUCUCAUCAAACAACAACCAGCGGUACGUCAUUCUCAAAUUAUAAAAUUGAUGUUGAGAUCAUUCGUAGAGAAAUUGCUAUGAUGAUUGCUAUUGAUGAACAACCUUUCAUAAUGGUUGAGAAUAUUGGA
Long non-coding RNA from Dioscorea cayenensis subsp. rotundata (Guinea yam), 617 nucleotides. RefSeq lists it as uncharacterized. The transcript is spliced from 3 exons. The record is from RefSeq and is a predicted model, not a curated record. Lineage: Eukaryota; Viridiplantae; Streptophyta; Magnoliopsida; Dioscoreales; Dioscoreaceae.